GCGGACGGGUGAGUAACGCGUGGGUAACCUGCCUCAUACAGGGGGAUAACAGUUAGAAAUGACUGCUAAUACCGCAUAAGCACACAGUACCGCAUGGUACAGAGUGAAAAACUCCGGUGGUAUGAGAUGGACCCGCGUCUGAUUAGCUGGUUGGCGGGGUAACGGCCCACCAAGGCGACGAUCAGUAGCCGACCUGAGAGGGUGACCGGCCACAUUGGGACUGAGACACGGCCCAAACUCCUACGGGAGGCAGCAGUGGGGAAUAUUGCACAAUGGGGGAAACCCUGAUGCAGCAACGCCGCGUGAGUGAAGAAGUAUUUCGGUAUGUAAAGCUCUAUCAGCAGGGAAGAAAGUGACGGUACCUGACUAAGAAGCCCCGGCUAACUACGUGCCAGCAGCCGCGGUAAUACGUAGGGGGCAAGCGUUAUCCGGAUUUACUGGGUGUAAAGGGAGCGUAGACGGCACAGCAAGUCUGAAGUGAAAUCCCCGGGCUCAACCCGGGAACUGCUUUGGAAACUGUUGGGCUAGAGUGCUGGAGAGGCAAGCGGAAUUCCUAGUGUAGCGGUGAAAUGCGUAGAUAUUAGGAGGAACACCAGUGGCGAAGGCGGCUUGCUGGACAGUAACUGACGUUGAGGCUCGAAAGCGUGGGGAGCAAACAGGAUUAGAUACCCUGGUAGUCCACGCCGUAAACGAUGCAUACUAGGUGUCGGGGAGCAAAGCUUUCCGGUGCCG
RNAcentral lists this ribosomal RNA (732 nucleotides) under uncultured bacterium. RNAcentral's name for it is "bacterial SSU rRNA". It matches the Rfam family "Bacterial small subunit ribosomal RNA", at positions 98 to 848 of the family's 1533-position model. The record is from RNAcentral.